RNAcentral lists this ribosomal RNA (492 nucleotides) under uncultured bacterium. Its description in RNAcentral is "partial 16S ribosomal RNA". It matches the Rfam family "Bacterial small subunit ribosomal RNA", at positions 29 to 507 of the family's 1533-position model. The record is from RNAcentral.
AGUGAACGCUGGCGGUAGGCCUAACACAUGCAAGUCGAACGGCAGCACAGUAAGAGCUUGCUCUUACGGGUGGCGAGUGGCGGACGGGUGAGGAAAACAACGGAAUCUACUUUUUCGUGGGGGAUAACGAAGGGAAACUUAAGCUAAUACCGCAUACGACCUACGGGUGAAAGCAGGGGAUCUUCGGACCUUGCGCGAUUGAAUGAGCCGAUGUCGGAUUAGCUAGUUGGCGGGGUAAAGGCCCACCAAGGGGACGAUCCGUAGCUGGUCUGAGAGGAUGAUCAGCCACACUGGAAGUGGAACACGGUCCAGACUCCUACGGGAGGCAGCAGUGGGGAAUAUUGGACAAUGGGCGCAAGCCUGAUCCAGCCAUACCGCGUGGGUGAAGAAGGCCUUCGGGUUGUAAAGCCCUUUUGUUGGGAAAGAAAAGCAGCAGGUUAAUACCCCGCUGGUCUGACGGUACCCAAAGAAUAAGCACCGGCUAACUUCGUG